Molecule: ribosomal RNA, 497 nt
Filed under: uncultured bacterium
Lineage: Bacteria
Description: partial 16S ribosomal RNA
Rfam family: Bacterial small subunit ribosomal RNA
Source: RNAcentral
GAUGAACGCUGGCGGCGUGCCUAAUACAUGCAAGUCGAGCGAACAGACGAGGAGCUUGCUCCUCUGACGUUAGCGGCGGACGGGUGAGUAACACGUGGAUAACCUACCUAUAAGACUGGGAUAACUUCGGGAAACCGGAGCUAAUACCGGAUAAUAUAUUGAACCGCAUGGUUCAAUAGUGAAAGACGGUUUUGCUGUCACUUAUAGAUGGAUCCGCGCCGCAUUAGCUAGUUGGUAAGGUAACGGCUUACCAAGGCGACGAUGCGUAGCCGACCUGAGAGGGGGAUCGGCCACACUGGAACUGAGACACGGUCCAGACUCCUACGGGAGGCAGCAGUAGGGAAUCUUCCGAAAUGGGCGAAAGCCGGACGGAGCAACGCCGCGUGAGUGAUGAAGGUCUUCGGAUCGUAAAACUCUGUUAUUAGGGAAGAACAAAUGUGUAAGUAACUAUGCACGUCUUGACGGUACCUAAUCAGAAAGCCACGGCUAACUACGUG